UGCCUUACACAUGCAAGUCGAACGGCAGCACGGGUGCUUGCACCUGGUGGCGAGUGGCGAACGGGUGAGUAAUACAUCGGAACAUGUCCUGUAGUGGGGGAUAGCCCGGCGAAAGCCGGAUUAAUACCGCAUACGAUCUACGGAUGAAAGCGGGGGACCUUCGGGCCUCGCGCUAUAGGGUUGGCCGAUGGCUGAUUAGCUAGUUGGUGGGGUAAAGGCCUACCAAGGCGACGAUCAGUAGCUGGUCUGAGAGGACGACCAGCCACACUGGGACUGAGACACGGCCCAGACUCCUACGGGAGGCAGCAGUGGGGAAUUUUGGACAAUGGGCGAAAGCCUGAUCCAGCAAUGCCGCGUGUGUGAAGAAGGCCUUCGGGUUGUAAAGCACUUUUGUCCGGAAAGAAAUCCUUGGUUCUAAUAUAGCCGGGGGAUGACGGUACCGGAAGAAUAAGCACCGGCUAACUACGUGCCAGCAGCCGCGGUAAUACGUAGGGUGCGAGCGUUAAUCGGAAUUACUGGGCGUAAAGCGUGCGCAGGCGGUUUGCUAAGACCGAUGUGAAAUCCCCGGGCUCAACCUGGGAACUGCAUUGGUGACUGGCAGGCUAGAGUAUGGCAGAGGGGGGUAGAAUUCCACGUGUAGCAGUGAAAUGCGUAGAGAUGUGGAGGAAUACCGAUGGCGAAGGCAGCCCCCUGGGCCAAUACUGACGCUCAUGCACGAAAGCGUGGGGAGCAAACAGGAUU
This 741-nucleotide ribosomal RNA is filed under the name uncultured beta proteobacterium. RNAcentral's name for it is "bacterial SSU rRNA". It matches the Rfam family "Bacterial small subunit ribosomal RNA", at positions 45 to 779 of the family's 1533-position model. Lineage: Bacteria; Pseudomonadati; Pseudomonadota; Betaproteobacteria. The record is from RNAcentral.